AGGUAGUUUAAGAUGAUUCCUUUGUAUGAAAGUCAAACUAUCCGCUAAAUAUAGCUCAUUGCUUUACACACGUUGAAUUAAGGGGCUUUCUCUCUGUCCUUAGCUGUUCUAGAGAGAGACAUUUUCUCUCGAGUACUUCCUCAUUUGUUAGGUUUAGCCUCUUCUUCAGUCGACUUUGGGGCUACCUUUACCCCUUUCGAGAAGGGGUGCUCUACCCUGCUCGGAAAGUGGAUUUCUCUCCCACCUUCGAGCAAGGUUGUGAAUAAACUUUUGGUGUGUUUUUGAGGUAGAUUGGGCUUCUUGGUGAGGGGGUGAUUUUGAUUUGUCUUUUCUUACAACUAGGUCAAGUUGCAUGCUUGUGGGUUGUGCUUCUAUGUUUUUCUGUCCUUGCUGUGUUUAUGGGUAUAGGUGACGCGUGAAGUUCAGAACUGAGGCUCAUUUUGUCGAGAUUUUGAAGAGAGUGCAGAAUGCAUGUGUUGGUGGUUAUCGUUAAGGAGCCGAGAAAGUCCAUUGGCCUUUUCGAAAGGCGCGAGUGAGUCGCCGAAGAGUCAUAUCGCCUCCACCCUCUGUCAUUGCUCUGUUGAUCUGUGCUUCCCUUUCCAUGGUUAUGCCAAUUUCCUUUUUGCUAACUCUUGGGUCCUUCCUAGGCUUUGCUCUAGCUUCUGGGGUGAUUGUAGCGGCGAGCCUGUUCUUGGAAUGAUGGUUGCAUCAAUGCGUCUUGCGAUUUUUUGUCUUCCCUGAAAGCCUUCUGUGACAGUGGCGAUGGCGUCCUCUUCUUCGGCGGAUCCUUCAUCUGGCAGAACCAAUUUGGAGUUUCUUUUGGGCCUUGGGCCAGCUCUUUCUGUUAAUCUAGGUGGGUUGAGUUUUUUGCUGGGGCCCAUAUCUUUAUUAGACCACUAUCAGGACAAUGGUUUCAUAUUUUGAAGAUGACUUCAAUAAACUCAUCGGUUAAGA
This 954-nucleotide unclassified non-coding RNA is filed under the name Hevea brasiliensis (rubber tree). Lineage: Eukaryota; Viridiplantae; Streptophyta; Magnoliopsida; Malpighiales; Euphorbiaceae. The record is from RNAcentral.